UUCAUCUGCCUUGGGUUGCCUGGAUAUUUCAGGGCACCAUGCUGGAGGUCACUUUAAGACCAGAUGAAGAGCCUUGCUCCUGGGCCAGUCAGUAUGUGGAUCACAGGCUUUAUCAACGCUUGAUGCAGAUAAACUGAGUUCUAUCUUGGAAGGUAAGGGAGUGUGUCUUGACUUAGCAUCUCUGGUCAUCUCCUAGGUUGUGCUCAAUGACAGCUGGUUUGAAUUGUUCUCUCAUGGCCCCUUUCCCUUAACACUUUGUAAUUAGACAGUGAAGUGAUCAACACAGGACCAGAGUCUUCUAUUUCCCAUCUGCCUUCCUCGGGUCCAAAACCAACAUGAGGCACUAAAUUAAAGCAUUCCUAUUGGCUGAUAUGAGUGAAAGUACUGUAGCUGUCUACUCCCACCAGUAGACGAAACUUCCUUACCUUCUCUGGGUACAGAGCACAUUUUCUCUGAUACAUCUCAUCUGAAAACUCCUGCACCAGGUAACCUAAGCUACAGAAUGCUGUUUCCUUGUGAAAACAAUUUAUUAGGCCCCGUGGAACCAAUAUCCUGGAGUUGUAGAGGAGAAAAAUAAAUUCUUGCCU
This 587-nucleotide long non-coding RNA is filed under the name Mus spicilegus (steppe mouse). Its description in RNAcentral is "lncRNA (ENSMSIG00000030212.1)". The record is from RNAcentral. Lineage: Eukaryota; Metazoa; Chordata; Mammalia; Rodentia; Muridae.